AUUUCAAAGAAAAGAAAUGUUUCUCUCAAAACUGGAAGUCAAAACAUUUUGAAGAUCAUUUCUGCCUCUGAAAUGCUGUUUAAAGGCAUUAGACACUCUGCUGUCUUUCUAGAAACCCGGGUUAAUUGCUGCCUUUACAGAGUUUCCAAAUGCCUUGGGAGUUAAACCCAAGCAGUAUGUUAAAAAAAGGGGCCCUUGUUCCUCAGAAAGCGAGUGCUGCUGCUGUGAUCCUGGGAUGAAGAGGGAGAUGGUCUCAUCUCAGACCUUUCCUACUCCUGAAAAAGUUGAGGGCUCUAAUAGGUACAGAGGGAGCUGGAGACCACCGGUGGAUGAGGCCCCCAGAACUUUAAUCAGUUGGGAAACUCCAGCAACAGUGAAAUCUCACGCUGCCCGGGUCACUACUCAGUGAGAGGACAGAGGACAGGACCCAGGAUGGAGACUCAUGAGAUAUUUCUGCUGAGGAGGCUUUUGUCCCCCUGCAUUGCUUUGCUGCAGUGAGCUGUGAGUUUGAGGACGAGUCCACAUGGAGAGCCUUCAGCUCAGUAGCCAGAGGGCUGAGCCUCUGCCAGCUCCAGCUGCAAGCCCUGCUGGCACUGAAAGUAUGCAAGGUCUUCUGACAAUCUCUCAGAUCUCAGUUCAGCAGUAACACAUCACCUUUUUCAGACAGUUAACAAAAUGGAAUCCCAGACAUUAAAAUGCACACGUGUUUUCAUAGUGUUAUGGCCAGUAAAUCCCACUCUGAGGUCCCUUGGGUUUGCCUGAGUCAUCUGGGCACACCUCAGCUCGACGCAUUCCUAUGUGCAGAGGCAAAAAAAAUGUGUUUAGAGAAAAUUGUUUGCAAUUUCAAUGGACUGCUGUAGCUGCAGCACAGGCUUGAGGGACAGAUGCUCUGCUGCCAUUCUCGUGCUGUCCCUCAGCACACAACAAUCGCCAAUACCAGAACAAAGGAGACCUUCAGAUCAUACUGAGCCUUAAAGGAGGAAACUGCUCAUCUGGUAACACUGGCAGGGCCUGGGCUCAGCAGGACUUUGCCAGAAGACUCCCCUGCCCUGUAUAGGUAAGUCUGAAUUCGUCACCUUGGGUACCGCUCCCUGCUUGGUGCUCUGCUGAGGAAGCUCGAGGUGCUCCCUCAAGGUGCUCCUGAAGCUUGUGGUGUAUCUCAUCAUCUCAGGCUCUGGGACCUGGUGGCAUCCACCUGCCUGCUGCCCACGAAGGAAGAAUGGGCACAGCCAGAUACAGCCUCCAACUCCACCCUACCCACAGCUCUCAUUUAAAAACCUGCAGGUGAUGGGACAAAGAAGCUGUGCUGGGACAGAAGGACACCUGGCUGUUGCUGAGCCCAUGGGAUGGAGAUUUUGGGAAGCUAAAAAAUUGUUUGAGAAUUCAGCAACACCCUCACCCCUGGUGGCAGUUAUCACCUCAAGAUGGUCAAGAUACCACAGAGACAGUUUCUAAGUAAAUAACUUGCUUCUUCAUGCAACCUUCCGUCAGCCUCGCAGCCAGCUGCCCCAGAUGGCUGGAGAGCCCAGGACGGUACCUGCGUCGUGAGAGGAAGCGCCAAGUCGCAUGAAUAAUAGAAGCGCCGCGGCUGUGGCAUGUGGAGCGGAUCCUUUCCCUUCACAGCCCCGGCUCUGGGCUGAAGAGCUGCUGGAAAGCCACCAUGGCCCUUCCCCACAGCAGGGCCACCCCAGUGGGCACUCAGGAGGGGGAAGCUGUGACCCUGGGCAGAGGAGGCUGUGCUGGGGGCUGCCGAGAAAGGCACCGUGGCAGUGUGAAGCUCCUGCUCCCCUUCAGCACAGGGUUUCUCUUCGCUCCCACCUGAUUAUGAGUGAAAACCAAAAGGUUAAAAGCGUUUAAUUAUGCUGAUGCUUUCCCAGCAGAUUAAACAAGAGGAUAAAUAGACUA
Molecule: long non-coding RNA, 1905 nt
Organism: Colius striatus (speckled mousebird)
Lineage: Eukaryota; Metazoa; Chordata; Aves; Coliiformes; Coliidae
Exons: 2
Source: RefSeq, a predicted model, not a curated record